GGGAACAUACCCUUUUCUACGGAAUAGCUCUGGGAAACUGGAAUUAAUACCGUAUACGCCCUACGGGGGAAAGAUUUAUCGGGGAAGGAUUGGCCCGCGUUGGAUUAGCUAGUUGGUGGGGUAAAGGCCUACCAAGGCGACGAUCCAUAGCUGGUCUGAGAGGAUGAUCAGCCACAUUGGGACUGAGACACGGCCCAAACUCCUACGGGAGGCAGCAGUGGGGAAUAUUGGACAAUGGGCGCAAGCCUGAUCCAGCCAUGCCGCGUGAGUGAUGAAGGCCUUAGGGUUGUAAAGCUCUUUCACCGAUGAAGAUAAUGACGGUAGUCGGAGAGGAAGCCCCGGCUAACUUCGUGCCAGCAGCCGCGGUAAUACGAAGGGGGCUAGCGUUGUUCGGAAUUACUGGGCGUAAAGCGCACGUAGGCGGAUAUUUAAGUCAGGGGUGAAAUCCCAGAGCUCAACUCUGGAACUGCCUUUGAUACUGGGUAUCUUGAGUAUGGAAGAGGUAAGUGGAAUUGCGAGU
Molecule: ribosomal RNA, 520 nt
Filed under: uncultured bacterium
Lineage: Bacteria
Description: bacterial SSU rRNA
Rfam family: Bacterial small subunit ribosomal RNA
Source: RNAcentral